This 490-nucleotide ribosomal RNA is filed under the name uncultured bacterium. RNAcentral describes it as "partial 16S ribosomal RNA". It matches the Rfam family "Bacterial small subunit ribosomal RNA", at positions 30 to 507 of the family's 1533-position model. The record is from RNAcentral.
AUUGAACGCUGGCGGCAGGCCUAACACAUGCAAGUCGAACGGUAACAGGAAGAAGCUUGCUUCUUUGCUGACGAGUGGCGGACGGGUGAGUAAUGUCUGGGAAACUGCCUGAUGGAGGGGGAUAACUACUGGAAACGGUAGCUAAUACCGCAUAACGUCGCAAGACCAAAGAGGGGGACCUUCGGGCCUCUUGCCAUCGGAUGUGCCCAGAUGGGAUUAGCUAGUAGGUGGGGUAACGGCUCACCUAGGCGACGAUCCCUAGCUGGUCUGAGAGGAUGACCAGACACACUGGAACUGAGACACGGUCCAGACUCCUACGGGAGGCAGCAGUGGGGAAUAUUGCACAAUGGGAGCAAGCCUGAUGCAGCCAUGCCGCGUGUAUGAAGAAGGCCUUCGGGUUGUAAAGUACUUUCAGCGGGGAGGAAGGGAGUGAAGUUAAUACCUUUGCUCAUUGACGUUACCCGCAGAAGAAGCACCGGCUAACUCCGUG